GCUUGGUUACAGGGGUUAAAAUAUGACCCAGACACAGGUAGAAAGAUAACGACUCACCGUGGAAGUGAACAGCAUAGGCCCAGUCUACUGCGGUUUCUGUUUAUUUUGUCUUCAGAUGAGUGACACCCCCCCCCCAGGAGACUUGAUCGCCUUUGAGGGAUUUGGCUGGUGACAGCUGUCGCAGGUGCCACCCUGUGGGCUACCCGUGAAUGAUUACCGGGGACCAAGCUUGAUGAGUCACCAAGAGGCCCAGAGGGCCUGCUUACACCCAGAGCGCCCGGCAGGCGGAGAUCCUGGAGGAGAAAAAGCCCCACAGUCCAAAACGCUCUGACUUUUUAUUAAGAAUAUCAAUAUAAGAGAGAAAAGCAAGAGAAAGGCAGUUUGGGCCAGCGGCGGUCUCAAGGCUGGGCAGUUUUCUUGGGGAAGGGGAUGGCCAAUGGCCCAGACACAGAAUGUGUAUUGUCGUUUAACCAUUGGAGUCUCACUCGGCCUGUGUGCUUUUUGUUAGGGAAUUGAUCAUGUUAAAUGAUGCUGUGACGCCGCCUCACAGGCUGCAUUCUCCUGGUACAUCUUGGCUCCUAAAAUGACCUCAUGCCCUUAUCUCUGGUUUCCCUCCCCCGCAAGGGCACAGUGGUCCAGGAAAGUUGAAACCUGUGUCUGCAGGACUGGGCCCAUAAAAGCAGUCUGGCCUGUGAUAGGUUAAAAGUAGCUCACUCCUCCUAAAUAAGCAAUAGCCCAGCCCAAAACUGAUAAAAGGACCUUCCUUUCUUUGUUCUCUGUCUCCUUCUGCUUCUUCUUCCUCCUCUCUCUCUCUCUCUGCCUUCCUGCCUCCUGCUCGCCUCCCUACAAUAAAGAUCUCCUGCCGGGCCCCUCGGUGCGUGAGUGGCCUAAUUGGGAAGGGGCACCCGAAAGGGCACGCGAACCCCCUUUCACUUUUGUCCCUCAGUUUAACGACUGACUUCUCAUAGAGCCUAUGGGACUUUGGUCCCGCAGGUCCACAGUUUACUCCUCCGCCAACUUCCUUACAAUGGGCUGAAGAAAGAGAAGCGGAAACAAUCCUGGGAGUACAGCUACAGUUUGACAAGACGCCAAAAACCACACCAGAACAGGCAGCCGGAUGCAGGUGCUGUCUCCCCCUGACAAGAGCCGCGCUCUCUCAGAGCAGACAGAACACAGAACGCCGGGUGGGAUGUUCCCAGCGCAGAGAUAACAGCUACAGAGUACAGCAUCUUUUCGCUGCCAAUAUACCCAAAAAUAUCAACACAUCUGCUUUGAUAAGCUGCGUGGACCCCGACCACAAACAUUGGCUCUGCCCUGUACACCACAGACACGCCAGACUCUGCCCUAUGAAGUUCCCUGCCUUUUGUUUGGAGCCGACAGGCUCUGCCCAGGUGAAUAAAGUCUGUGCCUGUCUUCACUAGCCUGCUUGGGUGGCCUCCUUACUCCAUAGUUGUUAGACUGGGAUUACAGGCGUGCACCCCCUUGCUCAGUUUUUUUUUUUUGGUUUUUUGUUUUUGUUUUGUUUUUCUUGGUCGUGAUGGGGAAGGUUAAUUAAAUCUAGGGCCAAUGAACUUGACAUUGCCAGUUUUUAGAUAGAAAUUCCCUAAAUGAUUAGCCUGCCUAUAUGUUGAGCUGAGCAGGGAUCUGACUAAAGUUCAAGUUAAUAAAGGAGAAUGCAAAAGGGGUAAUAAAUUCUGUGGUAGAGUACUUGCUUUGUCUGCAUGAGGCCCUGAGUUCAAAAGAUCAAGCUCUGUUCUUUUUAAAUUACCCGGUAGGCCCAAGUAGAGUCACCAAAUUCACUUUUUUAAGCCCUUGACUGCCUCAGAAGAAAACAAAAAUCAAGCUUCCAAUAAGUAACAGGUCAAAGACCUAGGAUUGGUGGUCCCUGACUGCUUCUCCCAAAAGAAAAAUUGAAUUUAUGUAGUCACGCUACACAUUGUGGAUAAAAAGAAACAUGUAAGUCAGGCCUGGUACCAGAUGCCUAUAAAUCGUAGCACUUGGGAAGCUGAGGCAGGAGGAUCACUGCAAGUUUAAAAUCAGCCUGGGCUAUGUAGUGAGUUUAAGUCCAACCUGAACUACACGAUGAGAUCUUGUUGCAAAAAAAAAGAAAAGGUAAGAAAUCUCUGACUUACUUUAGUUUUAUAACAACAAAAAUACCAAUAAUAACACUUUGAAGUUUUUUGUUUCUGUUUUGGUAUCAGGAAUCCAACUCUGACCCUUGCACCCCUGAGGCAGGCAGUGGAACUACUGAGUGAAAUCCCAGCAGCACUUGGAAGUUUUUAUGUCAUCGUUUAAAAGCUUUCAAAGAUUGCUGCCUAGGUAGUUUCAAGAUAAAAGGGGCAGGAUAAAAAAGAAUAUGUGUUGUGUACAUGUACCAACUCCCAGGAUGAACGGGAUAAAUGUGAUCGUUGUGUACUGAAAACAUACACUAAUAAAGUAAAAAAUAAAUUUAAAAAAUUUGAAGCCAAAGCUAUCACUAAAUCCAGGCUCAUCCACGGAAAGACCAAUGUCUGAGAGAUAAGUGUUGGGAGAAAGACAGCUUUCUUCACAGCCAAAGAAUGGAGGAGGAGCUUCCUCAGAUGUUGCAGACCAAGACCUAUGUGCGCCUCCACCCUCCGUGUGUGCGCCUCCACCUUCUCGGUGCGUGAGUGGCCUAAUUGGGAAGGGGCACCCGAAAGGGCACGCGAACCCCCUUUCACUUUUGUCCCUCAGUUUAACGACUGACUUCUCAUAGAGCCUAUGGGACUUUGGUCCCGCAGGUCCACAGUUUACUCCUCCGCCAACUUCCUUACAAUGGGCUGAAGAAAGAGAAGCGGAAACAAUCCUGGGAGUACAGGUGAGGAUAAUCCUGAGUACCUGAUUGUGUCCUGAGGUUGUAGACGUCUUAAAAUGCAAUUUUUUGUCGCAUGUCCAUAAUCCCAGUACUCAGGAGACUGAAAUCGGGAGGAUUGCUGCAAGUUUGAGGCCACCUCAGGCUACACGGUGAGUUCAGGUCAGCCUGAACCACACAGGAUGACCCUGUCUCAAAAACAAACAAAAAUAAAUAAACGAAAUAAGGUACGGUUUUUCCUCUCUCCCUCGCUUCAUCUCUUGGUCCCCUUCUCAUCUGCAAAGAAGCUAUCACCCUGUUUCCUAUGAUCUUUUAUUUUGCUCUUUAAUCUAUUUAUACGUGGGUAUUUUCUUUUAGAGAAACUAUGAAAUAUUUAAUUUUUGUGUAUCUGAUUUAUUUCACUUAACAUUAUGUUCUCAAGGUAUAUCCACUUCCUACAAAUGAUUCAAAUGUAUGCUUCUUUGUGGCAGAUUAGUAAUCCAUAGUGUAUGUAAGAAGUAAAAAUAUUUUUAAUUGAUCCAUAUUUCAUUAACCACUCUAAUAAGCUCCUGUUUUUUGUGGUCCUGGGGAUCGAACUCAGGACCUUGCGCUUGCGAGGCAGGUGGUGACACCACAGAGCUAAAUCCUCGGCCCUCUAUUAAAUUCGUAAUCUAAAGUGGGUGUGGUGGCCCAUACCUAGGAUCCCAGAAUUUGGGAGCCUGAGGCAGGAGGAUCACCAUGAGUUUGAGGCAAGCCUGGGCUACACAGUAAACUCAAGGCCAGCCUAAACUACACAGUGAGGUCCUGUCUAAAAAAAAAAAAAGAGUAAUAAGCCCUAAAUCUUAGCCUUAGCUCAGUCAACUAGCAGACAAGGACACACACAGAGGCUGUACAAAGACUCACCAGAGAUAAGGUUCUGGGGUAAGAUGUAAUUGCUAAACAAGUCUGGGAAUCCUGGGAAGCCAAAAGGCUAAAAAUAACCACAAAGAGAAAGACAGGGGAGCAGGGGUAAGAAGGGAAAGGGGGAGGCCAAUGGGUGUGGGAUGAAGUUGACCGCUCCGGACAGACUGUGCACCCCAGAUCCCAGCCCGUGGAGGUCAGGAGGGACUCCUGCG
RNAcentral lists this long non-coding RNA (3924 nucleotides) under Fukomys damarensis (Damara mole-rat). RNAcentral describes it as "lncRNA (ENSFDAG00000022021.1)". Lineage: Eukaryota; Metazoa; Chordata; Mammalia; Rodentia; Bathyergidae. The record is from RNAcentral.